RNAcentral lists this ribosomal RNA (329 nucleotides) under uncultured soil bacterium. Its description in RNAcentral is "bacterial SSU rRNA". It matches the Rfam family "Bacterial small subunit ribosomal RNA", at positions 27 to 356 of the family's 1533-position model. The record is from RNAcentral.
GAUUGAACGCUAGCGGGAUGCUUUACACAUGCAAGUCGAACGGCAGCGCGGACUUCGGUCUGGCGGCGAGUGGCGAACGGGUGAGUAAUAUAUCGGAACGUGCCCAGUAGCGGGGGAUAACUACGCGAAAGCGUGGCUAAUACCGCAUACGCCCUACGGGGGAAAGGGGGGGAUUCUUCGGAACCUCUCACUAUUGGAGCGGCCGAUAUCAGAUUAGCUAGUUGGUGAGGUAAAGGCUCACCAAGGCGACGAUCUGUAGCUGGUUUGAGAGGACGACCAGCCACACUGGGACUGAGACACGGCCCAGACUCCGUACGGGAGCAGCAGUA